CAUGCACAUACAUGCACACACACACACCCCCUUCAGAGAGAUCACUUCACACAGAUCUGCGGCACUGAAGCACUUUCUGCACACACACUCUCUGCGCCAGGACUCAGACCAGCUGUAGUAACUCGACCUCCUCUGCUCUCUCUCUCUCUCAGGGUGAGGACAGGAUCAGAACCACCAUCACAAAGAACCAGACCCAGAACCAGCAGAGAUGUCAGACUGUGAGACCACCCCCGCCCUCGAGGCCCCCGUCCCCAGCGCCUGCGCCGCCAUCAAGGCCGACCUGGACAAAUGCGUUGCAGAGAAAGGAGCUGAAGGCUGCAAAGAUCUGAUGGAGGCGUUCGCUGCCUGCGUAAAAAGCAGCGCUGAGGCGUCAUGAGGUGGAGACGCCCCCCCCCCCCGAUGUCCUCUGCACUGAGUCCUCCAGUUCCCAGCAUUCCCUUCUGCACACUGGACUGAAAGAUGAAAACGAUGAAGACUGUGAUGAAGAUGGUGACCUCGAGAUGAUUUGGGCUGAAUUUGGGAAAUGGUGGCAGUAACAAAAGUGUCCUCCUCUCUUUCCCCCCUGUUUUAGGCUUAUCUAAUGUCCCUCAGUCUUAUUCCCCCGUUCCUCCCUGUGCCGUUGACAUGCAUCAACCUGUAGUCCAGAGCGCUGAGCUGUAAUAUACAUUGUCGACUCGUGAUGAAUACUUAUAAAUGGAAAUAAAAGUAUCAAAUAAUUGGUAUAAAAACGUU
This is a long non-coding RNA of Trematomus bernacchii (emerald rockcod), 732 nucleotides long. RefSeq lists it as uncharacterized. The record is from RefSeq and is a predicted model, not a curated record. NCBI's taxonomy places the organism in Eukaryota, Metazoa, Chordata, Actinopteri, Perciformes, Nototheniidae. The transcript has 4 exons.